AGCGAGUGAUUGUAAGCAAAUCUCAAAAAUAACGUCUCAGUUCGGAUUGUAGUCUGCAACUCGACUACAUGAAGCUGGAAUCGCUAGUAAUCGCGAAUCAGCAUGUCGCGGUGAAUACGUUCCCGGGUCUUGUACACACCGCCCGUCACACCAUGGGAGUUGGUAACGCCCGAAGCCAGUGACCCAACCUUUAGAGGAGGGAGCUGUCGAAGGUGGGACCGAUAACUGGGGUGAAGUCGUAACAAGGUAGC
This 251-nucleotide ribosomal RNA is filed under the name uncultured bacterium. RNAcentral describes it as "partial 16S ribosomal RNA". It matches the Rfam family "Bacterial small subunit ribosomal RNA", at positions 1252 to 1500 of the family's 1533-position model. The record is from RNAcentral.